Molecule: ribosomal RNA, 465 nt
Filed under: uncultured bacterium
Lineage: Bacteria
Description: bacterial SSU rRNA
Rfam family: Bacterial small subunit ribosomal RNA
Source: RNAcentral
GCCAGACUCCUACGGGAGGCAGCAGUGAGGAAUAUUGGUCAAUGGCCGAGAGUCUGAACCAGCCAAGUAGCGUGAAGGAUGACUGCCCUAUGGGUUGUAAACUUCUUUUAUAAAGGAAUAAAACGAGGCACGUGUGCCUUUUUGCAUGUACUUUAUGAAUAAGGAUCGGCUAACUCCGUGCCAGCAGCCGCGGUAAUACGGAGGAUCCGAGCGUUAUCCGGAUUUAUUGGGUUUAAAGGGAGCGUAGAUGGGUUGUUAAGUCAGUUGUGAAAGUUUGCGGCUCAACCGUAAAAUUGCAGUUGAAACUGGCAGUCUUGAGUACAGUAGAGGUGGGCGGAAUUCGUGGUGUAGCGGUGAAAUGCUUAGAUAUCACGAAGAACUCCGAUUGCGAAGGCAGUUCACUGGACUGCAACUGACACUGAGGCUCGAAAGUGUGGGUAUCAAACAGGAUUAGAUACCCCAGUA